This 516-nucleotide ribosomal RNA is filed under the name uncultured bacterium. Its description in RNAcentral is "bacterial SSU rRNA". It matches the Rfam family "Bacterial small subunit ribosomal RNA", at positions 28 to 504 of the family's 1533-position model. The record is from RNAcentral.
GACGAACGCUGGCGGCGUGCCUAAUACAUGCAAGUCGAGCGAGCUUGCCUAGAUGAUUUUAGUGCUUGCACUAAAUGAAACUAGAUACAAGCGAGCGGCGGACGGGUGAGUAACACGUGGGUAACCUGCCCAAGAGACUGGGAUAACACCUGGAAACAGAUGCUAAUACCGGAUAACAACACUAGACGCAUGUCUAGAGUUUGAAAGAUGGUUCUGCUAUCACUCUUGGAUGGACCUGCGGUGCAUUAGCUAGUUGGUAAGGUAACGGCUUACCAAGGCAAUGAUGCAUAGCUGAGUUGAGAGACUGAUCGGCCACAUUGGGACUGAGACACGGCCCAAACUCCUACGGGAGGCAGCAGUAGGGAAUCUUCCACAAUGGACGAAAGUCUGAUGGAGCAACGCCGCGUGAGUGAAGAAGGGUUUCGGCUCGUAAAGCUCUGUUGGUAGUGAAGAAAGAUAGAGGUAGUAACUGGCCUUUAUUUGACGGUAAUUACUUAGAAAGUCACGGCUAACUAC